RNAcentral lists this ribosomal RNA (465 nucleotides) under uncultured bacterium. Its description in RNAcentral is "partial 16S ribosomal RNA". It matches the Rfam family "Bacterial small subunit ribosomal RNA", at positions 28 to 507 of the family's 1533-position model. The record is from RNAcentral.
GACGAACGCUGGCGGCGUGCUUAACACAUGCAAGUCUAACGGAAAGGCUCUGCUUUCCUUGCACUCGAGUGGCGAACUGGUGAAGAACACGUGGGUGAUUUGCCGUUCACUUCGGGUUUAGCUUGGGCAAUUGGUACUAAUACCGGACAGUAGCCCUUUUUUGUGUUAUUGUUGGUAAGUUUUGUCGGUGUAGGAUGAGCUCGCUUCCUAUCAGCUUGUUGUUGGGGUAAUGGCUUACCGAUGCGGCGAUGGGUGGCCGGCCUGAGAGGGUGUACGGCCACAUUGGGACCGAGAUGCGGCCCAGGCUCCUACGGGAGGCAGCAGUGGGGCAUAUUGCACAAUGGGCGCAAGCCUGAUGCAGCGCCGCCGCGUGGGGGAUGACGGCCUUCGGGUUGUAAACUACUUUCGCUAGGGACGAAGCUUUUUGUGACGGUACCUAGAUAAGAAGCACCGGCUAACUACGUG